This 447-nucleotide ribosomal RNA is filed under the name uncultured bacterium. Its description in RNAcentral is "bacterial SSU rRNA". It matches the Rfam family "Bacterial small subunit ribosomal RNA", at positions 329 to 793 of the family's 1533-position model. The record is from RNAcentral.
CUCCAGACUCCUACGGGAGGCAGCAGUGGGGGAUAUUGCACAAUGGGGGGAACCCUGAUGCAGCGACGCCGCGUGAGCGAUGAAGUAUUUCGGUAUGUAAAGCUCUAUCAGCAGGGAAGAAAAUGACGGUACCUGACUAAGAAGCCCCGGCUAACUACGUGCCAGCAGCCGCGGUAAUACGUAGGGGGCAAGCGUUAUCCGGAUUUACUGGGUGUAAAGGGAGCGUAGACGGCAGUGCAAGUCUGGAGUGAAAGGCGGGGGCUCAACCCCCGGACUGCUCUGGAAACUGUACGGCUAGAGUGCAGGAGAGGUAAGUGGAAUUCCUAGUGUAGCGGUGAAAUGCGUAGAUAUUAGGAGGAACACCAGUGGCGAAGGCGGCUUACUGGACUGUAACUGACGUUGAGGCUCGAAAGCGUGGGGAGCAAACAGGAUUAGAUACCCCCGUAU